Molecule: ribosomal RNA, 373 nt
Filed under: Coptodryas sp. 558 AIC-2011
Lineage: Eukaryota; Metazoa; Arthropoda; Insecta; Coleoptera; Curculionidae
Description: eukaryotic LSU rRNA
Rfam family: Eukaryotic large subunit ribosomal RNA
Source: RNAcentral
AGUUCUCGAACAGACCUCUAUUUUUCUUUUUUUAAGAAAAAUUUAAAGACCGAUCGGCGACGCUAUAGCUUUGGGUACUUUCAGGACCCGUCUUGAAACACGGACCAAGGAGUCUAGCAUGUGCGCGAGUCAUUGGGAAUAUCACUAAACCUAAAGGCGUAAUGAAAGUGAAGGUCUUCCUCGCGAAGACCGAGGGAAGACGGACGAUCGCGCGAAUUAAUUUUUUCCGAUCGUCCUGCAUUCCCGGGGCGUCUCGUUCACAUCGCGUGAAGAGGCGCACCAAGAGCGUACACGCUGGGACCCGAAAGAUGGUGAACUAUGCCUGGUCAGGACGAAGUCAGGGGAAACCCUGAUGGAGGUCCGUAGCGAUUCU